RNAcentral lists this ribosomal RNA (1078 nucleotides) under uncultured Chaetothyriales. RNAcentral's name for it is "eukaryotic LSU rRNA". The stretch from base 504 to 1078 matches the Rfam family "Eukaryotic large subunit ribosomal RNA", at positions 1 to 582 of the family's 3401-position model. The record is from RNAcentral. Lineage: Eukaryota; Fungi; Ascomycota; Eurotiomycetes; Chaetothyriales.
UUACCGAGUUAGGGUCUUUAUGGCCCGACCUCCAACCCUUUGUUUACUAUACCAUGUUGCUUUGGCGGGCCUGCCUUUCAGGGCUGCCGGGUGGCUUUACCGCCCCUGACCCGUGCCCGCCAGGAGCCCUCCUUAAAUUCUGUUAAAAUUGUGCCGUCUGAGUCUUAAUAUCAAAUUAUGAAAAACUUUCAACAACGGAUCUCUUGGUUCUGGCAUCGAUGAAGAACGCAGCGAAAUGCGAUAAGUAAUGCGAAUUGCAGAAUUCAGUGAGUCAUCGAAUCUUUGAACGCAUAUUGCGCCCUUUGGUAUUCUGAAGGGCAUGCCUGUUCGAGCGUCAUUAUCACUGUCAAGCUUGGCUUGUUGUUGGACCCCUUUGUCACCUGGUGACAGGUCCAAAAGAUAAUGACNCGGUGUCUUGAAGACUCUAAAUGCAACGAGCUUGUAACAGCACGCAUCUAGUAGUCAUCUGACUUUGGUCGUCACAUCUUUUAUUUUUCCAAGGUUGACCUCGGAUCAGGUAGGAAUACCCGCUGAACUUAAGCAUAUCAAUAAGCGGAGGAAAAGAAACCAACAGGGAUUACCUUAGUAACGGCGAGUGAAGCGGUAACAGCUCAAAUUUAAAAUCUGUCCUUCGCAGGUCCGAGUUGUAAUUUGUAGAGGAUGUUUCGGGCAAGGCUGUGGUUUAAGUUUCUUGGAACAGAACGUCAUAGAGGGUGAGAGUCCCGUCUAGAACCAAAGGCUGCGUCUAUGUGAAACUCCUUCGACGAGUCGAGUUGUUUGGGAAUGCAGCUCAAAAUGGGUGGUAAAUUUCAUCUAAAGCUAAAUAUUGGCCAGAGACCGAUAGCGCACAAGUAGAGUGAUCGAAAGAUGAAAAGCACUUUGAAAAGAGAGUUAAACAGUAUGUGAAAUUGUUGAAAGGGAAGCGUGGCUAUCGAUGAAGAGCGCGGCGGUUCCCCUGGCCUUUUGGCCAGGUUACUCCGUCGUGUCCAGGCCAACAUCGGUUUCGAGGGUCGGUUAAAGGCUCCGGGAAUGUAUCUACCCACGGGUAGACUUAUAGACCGGGGUGUCAUGCGACCCC